UUCUUUCCCUAUGUCUCACUUGUAGUAAUUAAAAUAUUAAUCUCUAUUUUUUCUUCUAAAUAACUGAAAUAACUGCUUCCCUCAACAUUCUUGUGUACUGGGAUAUAGUACAAGAAAGCUGGAGGGGGUACUAAGGUGUGGCUGAGACCUAAGGAAGCAAUGAAAUGCUGACCAGAUGCUGCAUUUCCUGUUGAUUUGAGGCGUUAGUUCAUUAGACCACUAAUCAAAACCAUGUGCUCUGCUAACAAACCAUUUCAUCCCCUGAGUGCUGGAGCAGGCACAUGCUGUUCCCAACUAAUUAGGACCUGCUUCAAGUCAAUGAAGAGUCUCUAGUUGGCUUCUCUCUGGGAUCAAUGUGUCGGAGAGGUGUACAAGAACAAACAAAGGAGGAUGACUCAUGGAGCGGAAGACAGAAAGACAGAGCAUCUUGAUCAGGAAAGGACAAAGGAAAUAGGCUGAUUCCUCAGAAGCCAAGGGUUGGCAGACCUGCAAGCAAAGUACAAGAGAUUACCGAACUAUAAGUGUGCCACUGACUCUAUCCUAGGAUCAGCAGCUUGUGGGAGAAUCAUGGAAUACUUACCAAAGUAGUGAUGUGAAAAGAAGGGAAAUGCUGAUUCAGGACAGACUACAGGUAUUUCCUGAGAGAAAUGGUGAUGCAUUUAACAAUUGCUUUUGUGGAUUUUCAUGUCGCCUAGGAUCAGAGAUCUCUGAUUCAUUUGAGGUCAGAGGCAAGCUAACGUCCAUAGGGUAUUCAUCAGUUCUGGGAAUCAACUUUCUGACUUCAACCGAAAGGCCUGUUUUCAUCUGCUGUAAAAGAACAUUCUGCCACUCUCCAGGAUCACCCAAAACAGAUUGUGCUUUGUGGAGAUAUUCACCAUAUUCAACUGAACACUGUCAUGGAUGAUAG
This 907-nucleotide long non-coding RNA is filed under the name Anser brachyrhynchus (Pink-footed goose). RNAcentral describes it as "lncRNA (ENSABRG00000023209.1)". Lineage: Eukaryota; Metazoa; Chordata; Aves; Anseriformes; Anatidae. The record is from RNAcentral.